GACGUAGGUGGCGAACGUUAUCCGGAAUUAUUGGGCGUAAAGGGUGCGUAGAUGGUCGGAUAAGUUAGCGGUGGGAAAUCGAGGCCUAACCUCGUGGAAGCCGGUAAUACUGUCUGACUUGAGGGCAGGAGAGGUUAACGGAACUCCAUGUGGAGCGGUAAAAUGCACAGAUAUAUGGAAGAACAUCAAUAACGGCGAAGGCAGUUAACUAUUCUGUUCCUGACAUUGAGGCACGAAAGCGUGGGGAGCAAAACGG
Molecule: ribosomal RNA, 256 nt
Filed under: uncultured prokaryote
Description: partial 16S ribosomal RNA
Rfam family: Bacterial small subunit ribosomal RNA
Source: RNAcentral